GCGCAAAUAGCUUAAUGGUAGAGUGUUGGCAUUCCAGCCAAAGGUUGUGGUUCGAGUCCAUGUUUGCGCU
RNAcentral lists this transfer RNA (70 nucleotides) under Candidatus Gallipaludibacter merdavium. RNAcentral's name for it is "tRNA-OTHER". It matches the Rfam family "tRNA". Rfam says of the family: Transfer RNA (tRNA) molecules are approximately 80 nucleotides in length. Their secondary structure includes four short double-helical elements and three loops (D, anti-codon, and T loops). The record is from RNAcentral. Lineage: Bacteria; Pseudomonadati; Bacteroidota; Bacteroidia; Bacteroidales.